This is a long non-coding RNA of Notolabrus celidotus (New Zealand spotty), 713 nucleotides long. RefSeq lists it as uncharacterized. Lineage: Eukaryota; Metazoa; Chordata; Actinopteri; Labriformes; Labridae. The record is from RefSeq and is a predicted model, not a curated record. The transcript has 3 exons.
GACGUUUUGUUAUUGUGCUCAUAAAGAAUUAUUUGCAACUAUGCCAUUCAUAAUAAAACAUGAUCAAAUCAAAUGUACACAUAAACCCAGAUUACAGAUAUGUCACCUUGCUCCCAUUUUCCAACCUAAAGCAGGACUGAAGGGUAGAACUUGUGAGAAGAGUGGACCACAUAUAUUACCUACAGUAUGUCAGUUUCCCUCAUCAAUACUUCAAAAGAAGAAAAAAAGGUGUGGAACAUCCUGAACGUCCUUCAGGGCUGAUGGAGAGGACUGCAGAAACCAACAACAGGACACCCACAGUUACCCCACAACCAGCAGUCACUGCUACGAACUUCCAUAUCCCCCUUUCUGCUUUGAAACAAGAGACCAUGAACAAGUGUCAGUUUCACUUCCCACAGUUAGCGUCAGACAUGUUCUGUGCUGCUUUCAUUAUAGUUAAGCAAGCAAAACCUGUGUAGACCCCAACACAACAUAGAAGGUUAAGUCUUGAUUCAGUCAUGUUACACAAUAACUGAGUAAAUCAUGUCAUCAACAUUUUUCCAUCAGUAAAUUCAGGUGGAAAAGAAUGACUCAUUCUCACCUGAAGCUGUUUUCUCAGAGGUUUCAUAGACAGUGCUGUCUUUACUGUCAGGCAUGUUUACACUUACACCUAGUGAGUACACAGCCACAGAAGUUGUUAAUAUGUCCACAGAAAUGCCUGAACACGUUAUGAA